UGGUCGUGAAAAAAAUAAGACAUUGUAUCUGUUGUGGCAAAGGCGAGGGGAGAGAAAGAAAGAAAGCUUUUUGUAGAAUAAAUUUGUUAGGAUAAAAUAAUUUUACUCACCCACUUUUAGAAAAUUGAUGGUGAAUCAAACGGCAGAGACAUAUAUGAACGAACCAGAAUUUUUGGCGAAAUAUAUUUGUAAAACAGAGAAUUUUGAAGGGAUAAAUCUGAUUAUUUAAAUUUUGUAAGGAUUUAUCUGUUAUUUAAUACUUUUACAGGAAUCGAUAUUAAAUUAACCUAAAGUUUUAAACUUAAAUAAAAAAAGUGAGUGUUAAAUAUUGUUGGAAAUAAUAGGCAGCGGAAACUUACAAACCGGAUAGCCAACGUAUCCGGAAGCCCGAAUCGGAUCGGAUUACUUGUUUUACAAGCCUUCUUGAAUCGUUCUUGUCUCGAAAAAUGGUUGUCUCACAGGUACGAGAUGAUCCGCCGCUCAGCCCACCUCCUCGCCUCCUCGCUCCUAUUUUCGAAUCCUCAUCCCUUCCGAUCUCCGCCGUCGUCAUCGACAUCGCGCUGGCCUCCGCCGUCCUCCCCGUCGUCACCGCCAACUUAGGCCUCAAGAGCUACAUUCUGUUCACCACAUCUGCCUCCAUGCUUGCGCUCUACACGUACUUUCCAACUUAUCUCGACGCCGCCGAACCCGGCUCGCCGAUCGGUGACAUUGAUAUUCCGGGGCUGUGGCGAGUACCGAGAGCGUCCGUCGUGCCGGCGCUCCACGACGCUGACAAUCUCUUCACAAUCCAGUUCGUCAGCAACGGCCGCGCGCUCCCGCAAGCGGACGGAAUUAUAGUGAAUACGUUCGAUGGCUUCGAGCUAGAGGCGCUCGCCGCGCUGAGAGCGGGAAAAGUCACUCCUUCGCUCCCUCCGGUGAUCGCAGUCGGUCCAUUGCACCCACUGGGAGGCUCAAAGUCGGCGACGCCAUUGCUGACGUAGUGGCUCAACGAGCAGCCCGCAGGGUCCGUAAUCUACGUGAGCUUCGGCAGCCGCACGGCAAUGUCGAAGGCACAAAUACAGCAACUACGGAGGGGCAUCGAAGUAAGUGGCGUGCGGUUCCUGUGGGUGGUGAAGGGCAAAGCCGUCGAUCGAGAGGAUGAUAGCGAAGUAGAGCAGUUGGUCGGCGGCGACGACGAGCAAUUCUUAUAGAGAGUGAAGGGGAGGGGAAUGGUAGUAAAAGGAUGGGUAGAGCAAGAGAGGGUGCUGGGCCAUGUAUCCGUCGGAGGGUUCUUGAGCCACUGCGGGUGGAAUUCGGUAGCGGAGGCGGCAGUAUUCGGGAAGCCGAUAUUGGCAUGGCCAAGAGCAGCGGACCAGCGCGUGAACGCAGCGGUUGCGGUGGCGUGUGGGCUCGGGAUGUGGGUGAGGGAGUGGAGUUGGGAGGCAGAGGAAGGGGUGGUGAGUGGGGAGGAGAUUGGAAAGUGCAUAAAAGAGCUGAUGGCGAAUGAGAAGCUAAAGGCAUCGGCGGUGAGAGUGAGGGGGGGAGGGGGGGAGGCCGGGGGGGGGGGGGGGAGGCCGGCAGAGCUAUACGUGCUAGAGGCAGCUCGCAUGAGGGGUUGCAGCUGCUGAUUAGCAGUCCGAACGUGUGAGAACAAGUUUUCUCUUAUUGUUUGUGUAUCGAAUGUGGCUUUUCUAUUUUGCUAAACAAAAGUUUUAUACAAAGUUAACGUAGAAAGAAAUAGCCGAUUAUUUAUAAUUUGAAAAAUGUUUUGGAUCCCUCGAUUUAAAGUAUCUCAAUAUCUAUACCUAUUUAUUAGUCUCGAAUAAAAGUUUCCACGUGGCUGUUUUUCCUUCACUUUUGGUUGCGGGCUUCACUUGCUAGUAAUUCCUGCCUUGAACUGAACCAUCUCAACUGGCCCAUCUCUUCCUCUUCUUUCUUCAAGACGAAUUGGGCUAAUUUGUAAUAUACUACAUGUUAAAUCAUAUUCUUCUUUUUGUAAAAUCGAUUUUUUUAUUACCUUUUUUUUUUUUUUCUGACUUUCACCUCUUUUAAACUAGCUUCUCUCCUCUUUUAAAUAAGUUUUUUUUUUUUUAAAUCGAACCAACUAUUCUCUUCCUUUAAACCACUUUCUCAUAUUUUCUUGAAUCGAACUGGCUCAUCUCAUCCUUUGAACCUUUCUUGCCUAUACCUUUCCCUUCCCCCCUUAGCAUUUAUUGUCAUUUAAUCUUUUUUUUUUCCCUCUUUAGCCUUUUCUUUUACCCCACAGUGGUUUUGGUGGCUCUUAGGUUUUCCUCUAUCUCUCUCUCUCUCUUUCAUGAGACCUUUCAUUUUCUCAUUUGAGUCAUCUCAUUAUUCUUCAUCAUUUAAUCUCUUUUUUCUUUUCUUUUUUUUCUCAAUUUGGCCUUUUUCUCUUACCUCUUCAGUAGUUUUGGUCCAUUUCUUAAAUUUUUCUUUGCUUCUCUUUUUUUUACUCUAUCUUCAUCACUCUCUAUUUAAAUCUAUUCAAAUCAUCUCUCUUCUGUUGAUGACAGUAGAAAGGGCGAUGGCAGUGCAACAAAUCCGCAACAAAUCCGCCGAACUGACAGAGCCUUUCCUAUCCGUCCAACACGUAGGAAAGUUUGUGCAUCAUUCCAAAUAAGGAGAUCAUUGCAGCACAUUUUGCACGAGGGCAAUCAAGAGAAUAAGAGAAUUUAACUAUCUAUUACGUUGUCCCAAACAUCCACAACUCGAAACUUUUUACACAACACAUUCAUUCUUUACAUAAUACAAUUCCAACUCAUCUCGACACUUUUAUAGAUGUGUAGACGAGUCACUGAAAUUGUAAUUGAUCCGAUAGUUAAUUUUUUCGGAACACUAAAUCCUUCCCCUCUAUAAAAAGUUGUUUUCGAAACUUUAUCUCAUACGUCAAGUAAAAUGCUCGAAAAGAGAAGGAUAAAUUUUGUUGCAUCACAGUCUCCGACCCCCAAGUAAAAGUAGGUUAUGCCCUAUAGGUGCAAGGUGUGAAACACUCGAGUAUCACGGUGUUGAGACUCAAGGGUGGGGCCUACAAUUUUUUGGAAGCUAUACUCUUUAGCAUGGUCCAUGGCAUAUAGAUCACGACCUAUGAUGGCCCAAUACAUAGAUCAUGGCCCAUGAUGGCCCAUUGGGAUGGUUGUAUUUGAGAGCAAAAGCACGUGCCAUGCAUGAUACGCUCCCUAAGCCAUCAAUCUCCAUGUACAAAAGCUAUUCACCUUCUACAUUUCCUAACAUUUCAAAAUUACUCUCUUCACCUUCGCAUUUUCCUCUCAUCACCUCCCACUAUAACAUGUAGUCACGAAACACCCUAGCUUAUCAAUUAUACACUUCUUAGGCUCAAGAGACUAUACAUUUCAUGUCACUUUGUGAUUGUUGUCUGUAUUGUCUUUGAUCUUUACUGUUUUUUCUUUCUAUAUUGUUUUUCUAUAUUUUUUCUUUUUUUUUACGUUUUGUUCCUCUUUAAGAUUUAGACUUUAGUUUUUGGUUCUCCUUGCAGUAACUUUCAUCGUAAAAUACAUAUAGUUAGUUUAAGUUUAGCACAUUCAUAUUGUUGUAUUUUGUUUGGAUUUUUUUCCUGUCUAUUUGAUUAUCUUAAUAUACUUUUACUUCUCUACUAAUUUGAGUUCUAAUAUUUCUGUUUUGAUAAUAGAAAAUUAAAAAAGAGUUCUACUUAAUUUUCUAAAUGCUUUUACGUAAUGUUGGAUUUCAAAAUUAUAUAUAUGAUUCUAAAAAAUGAUUGGCUUUUAGUUUCUCUUUUAUUAAUUUUUAGUCUAUAUAUUAGUUAGUUGGUUGUCAUUCAUGGUAUGCAACUACUGCUAUAGGUUUUAGUUUGUGCAUAGAGAUUAUAGAAUAUAUAUCUCUUGACAUUUCUUCAGUCUAUAUCAUGUAUAUUAUUAUGAUUCAUAUAUUUCAAAAUUCAAAAUUUUCGAUCUUUAUAUUAUCUUAUUUCUUAGUCAGUAGUAUAAUGAUUAUCUUUAUUCACAGAUGGAGUCUAACUCCCCCACUUUUGGCAGGGCAGAGAUGAAAUCUAUGGAGACGCUCUCCCACGGACGACUAGGGAACCGCUGAUGCUCUAUGUUGUCUUGCUGGCACACAAGACAAAUCUACAAGUUAAAACAUCACUGUUGGCAAUCACUUUGUUUUUUAUUUGUAAAUCAUAAAUAUAUAAAUGGAGGAAGAAUGUAUCACCAUUUUCUGAAAUAGUAAAAUUUGAUAAAAAUAAUCAUAAAUAUUUAUUUUUAAUUCUAUAGGUACUUAAUUAUCUAUAAAUUUUUGCUUGAACAAUAUCAAUUCGCUGCAUCGAGCAGGCCUACACUAGUAUUGUUUAUAUUUUGACAUACACAUAUAAAAGUUAGAAUUUAGAACCUAAAGUAUAAUAAUGAUGCUUAGGGUUUAAUAAUGAUAUUUGAAAUUUUAGUAAUUAACGUUUAGAAAUAAUAAUGAAAUUGUCAUGUCAUCAGCAACAUUAUAGGAUACCUUUAUAACUCUCUAAUAAAAAAGAUAAAAGUUUUAAAAGUAGUUUUUCUUUCUACUUUCAAAAUUUUUUUAGACAAAUUCUUAUUCAUUUAUUACAAGAUAACUAAUCAUGACAAAAAGAAAAAGAGCCUUUUAAUUGGUAUAUCAUAUUAUAUAGAAUAUGUUCUAAAAAAAAAUAGAAAAAUGAUCACUAUGUCGGGCCUAAUCACUUCUCUACUUUGUAGUUCAAAAAUUAUAUUUAACUAUUUUAGGGACCCAUAUUUUGCAGCGGGUAGAAACUAUAAAAAUUAUUAAAUAAUAAAAAAAUAUCAAGCAUACACCAAUAAAAAGAACACACAAAACUCUAUAUUCAAACAUAAAUAUUAGUAAUAAUCUCUUAUAAGCAAUCAGUCUUAUUAAUUUAUACAAAAAGUUGUAAUUAUCUCUAUUGAAGAAAAUAAUCUCUAUUAGUUUUUGAGAAAAAAAAUUGUUAGUCUCUAUACUAAACAGUUAGUUAACACAAAGUAUAAUUUACUAAUUAAGAUAUGAGAUCGGAAAUGUCUAAUGAAACUGAGAGGGAACACAACAAAAUUUAUAAAAAAAAAAAAACUAUGUAAAAAAAAAAUAAAAGAAAAAAAUAAGAGAGAAGAGGUUAAGGGAUUUUACUAUGGUGCUAUUGUCAUAUAUCACAACUUCUCUAUUAUCCAUUUCUAUCUUGCUCACUACAACAAAAACGGUCUAUAGUGACACUUUUAAAUGUAGGUACAUGUCAAAAGUGCUGCUAGCUAAAAUUACCGACACUUUUAAAAAGUGUUGCUAUAUGUGGGGUCGCUAGGUAUAUAGUGACAGUUAUAGAGUGUCGCUAUAACAUAAAAGAGUGCUGCUAAUUUACCAACAACUUAUUUAAGUAUUUAGCAACCGCCGAAACUCUAUCCCGUUGGCUGCGGUGGCGGAGGAGGACGAUAGGAAUGACUCUUCGCCUAGAAUUUCAGUAGAUUGAGUGAAGAGAGAAAAAAAAAUAGUAAUUGAUUUUUCUCUUUUUUUUUUCUUUUCUGUUUGUAAUCAGGCCAAAUGGGCUGGGUGUGAUGGGUUGAGUAGAGUAAUCUUUUAUUUUUGGUUGGAUUGAGCUUUAUAUUUAGGCAUUAGUAGAUGUUUUUUUAAGUUUUAGUAUAAAUAGGACACUUACUCAAAAGUGUCCCAAACAUGUGUCCCUAUAACCUAAUUCUGUUGUAGCGCUCUCUCUCUCCUCUCCUCUCUACUUUUCAUUCUUUCUUUGAAGUUAUGGAGGAGGACAAAGAGAAAGACGAGUUUGAAUGCAGAUGAAUCUUGAAUGUGCGAGAGGAGAUCGCUUACACGUGGGAAGCUCGAUCUCAUUAUCCCCAUCGUCUCCCUCAAGAAUGCCAUUCUCAUUUGCUGCGAUCACUCCGGGCUCCCCCGUCUUAACCUGCUCUUCACUAAAAACGCGCACGCCAUCGUCCGCCACCUCACCUUUAUAGCAUCGAAUUGAUUUUAGGGGAGAGUAGAAAAGGAUGGAUAAUAAUUAGUUUUUGAAUAUAAUUUUUCAAAGAGAUAAUAUACAGAGAAAAAAAGAUAGGAUAAAAAAAAAAAAAGUCCCUAUAAAUCUUGAUAGGAUAUGAGCCAAAGUAAGAAGAGAGGGAGAAGAUGGAAAAAAGAUUAAAAGCACCACGUGUUCCUUUAAAAGUGUCAAUUAGGGCAUGCUUGGUUCACCUAUUUUAGAUUAUGGAAUCGGAAUGGAAUUCAUUGAUUCCGAUAGUUGCCAUUUGUUUUAUAGGAAUCGGAUUCCGAUUCUUAUUCCACUCCGGAAUGGGAGUGUCCAAAUUCAUUUAUGAUCCAAUCCGGCUUUGAAUCCCGGAUUGACUAAUUUCAAAGUAAAUUAUUCAAAAUCUUCUUUUAUCAACACCUAUUUCCCCUCCCUUCAUCACUUUUCUCUCUCUUAAUCAAAAUCCUCUCUCAAAAAUUUUAAAUUUUCAUUCCGAUUUCCAUUCCAAUAAUGAACCAAACAUUUUUGAAUGAUUCGUCAUUCCAUUUUUCAUUCUAAAGCAAUCCAAUUCCAUUUCCCAUUUCUAUUCUAAUCAUGAACCAAACAUGCCCUUAAUGUAUUUUUAUAGGAGAUUAUCAUUUGAUUUUAUUUUAGUAUCAUCAAAUAGCAAAAUAAUACUUUUAUAUCAUUUGAUUUUGAAAAAUAACAUGUUACUUUAUUUAAGGAUAAAUUUUUACCAUAAAAUAAAAAUAAAUUUAUAUGAUAAUUUUUUAAAUCAUAGAGUGAGGAUUGAAAAUAUGAUAAAGUAUAUGGUGCAAAUUGAAUCUUACCUUAGGGCUUGUUUGGUUCAAGGGUGGAAUUGAAAUGGAUAAUGAAAUGGGAAUGAAUUGGAAUGGUAAUUGGAAUGACCCACUCUCCCAAGACGUUUGGUUUAUUUGUGGAUUGGGAAUUGGAAUGAGUUAUUCACAUUUCAUUGUUUGGUUCGUAUAAAUUAAAAAAAUUAUAGGAUACUAUAAUACUAAUUUUACUCUCAAAUAUAAAUUUAUAUUAUUUAAAAUUUAUGAAAAAUAUAAUACUAUUCUCUAAUAAGUUUUUCAAAAAAAAAUAUCAAAUUUAUUUUUAAAAACUUUUAUUGAUGUGGGUUAGGGAUAGGGUUUUGAGAGAGGAUAGGUUACUUUUUUUUUUUUGAUGAGAAAGGAGUGGAGAGAGAGAAGGAGGGUGAGAUGGUCACAUGGGGUUUGAGAACUUAGUGGGCUUCCGGAAUGAAAUCUCGAUCCGGGCUAGAAGACUGGAAUCAAGUUGAAGGCUAAUGGGUCAUUCCCAUUCCAGUCCGAAAUAGAAAUCCCAAACCGAUUCAUGUGAACCAAACAAAAUUAACCGGAUUUGAUCAAACCGAUUACCAUUCCAUACCCAAAAUGGAUGAACCAAAUAAGCCCCUAAUUUCUUCAUUGGCACCUCCGAAACUUCUAUUUUUUAUUUAAAUUUUUUAAUAAAUUAAAUUAAAAAAUUUAUUAAAGUUUAUGGUUUCAAAAAGUGUAACUUACUUUCAAAUAGUUGUACAUGAUAUAAUUUUGUUUCAAAGGAUGCAACUUAAUUUCAAACUUCGUUAUAGGAAAGAACUGCUUAUUUCAAAGAUAGAUACAAAUUCAGGUAUAAGUAAGAACUAAACUAAUUUUGCAUUUGGAUAAAAAUUGAGUUGUUUUUAGGAAUACAAAAAAUAACAUUUGGAUAGAAAAAAUUAAACAAGAAGAAUAGUUGGUAGUUAUAAAUAAAAAAUAUUGAUAUUACCCCUCUCACUAUAUUUGAAUUUAAAUUUUUUAAUUUUAAAUUUAAAUUUUUAAAUUUUAAAUUUUAAAUUUUAAAUUUUAAAUUUAAAUUCUAAAAUUAAAAUUUAAACAAAAUUUAAAUUUAAGAUCAAAUUUAAAUAUGAAAAAUAUAAAAUACCAAAAUUUAAUUUGGAAAAAUUAAAAAUAUUAACUUUAAAAUUUAAAAUUAUAAACUUUAAUUUUGAAAUUACAAAUUAUAAAUUUUAAAACUUUAAAAUUUUAAUUUUAAUUUUUUAAAUUUUAAAUUUUAAAAAUAAAAAUAAGGAUGGUAACCGUUAUUCCCACCCUAUCUAAUAAUCUAAGCGUGGGAAUUAGCAUUUUGUGUUUGGGAAACAAAAAGGCCUCUUAACCCUAUCCGUGUUACUCAACCAAACCGGGUGAAAGAGUAUAAAUAUGUCUUAAAGAGCAAAAUUUUCGAACCAAACGAUACCUAAAUGGAUAAAAAAAGGGUAAGAAGAAGGAAGAAGAUCUGAAAUUAAAAAAAUGUUAUAUUUUUGCAAAAAAAAAAAAAAAAAAGAGCAAAAUCCGUGGAAUUUUUUAUUCAAAUAGGCCCUAAGAUUAAAUUCCUUCCGUUCGAACGUCCGCAUACUCCUUCCUCUCUCUCUCUCUCUCUCUCUCUCUCUCUCUCUCUCACAGAGAGUAGCAAAAGGUUGCACGAAGCUCCAUUCCCGUGCCGCAAUGUCUCCUCCUCCUCUCUCCCUCCUCUCUCCAUCGAUCGCGUCUCCUUGAGGAGGAGGAGCAGGAGGAGCACAGCAUCCAUGGCGAGAUCGGGGGCGAAGCCGAUCGCGAAGAGGUACGUGCUCGUCCUCUCCGGCCUCGCCCUCCUCGGCGUCGCCCUCGUCGCCGAUUUCCUCUGGGCCUCCUCCUCCUCCUCCUCCUCGUCGUCGUCCUCGCCUCUUUGGUCCACGACGCUGGAUUUGUCUCUCUACGACGCCCCCAAACCCCCCGUGGCCAAGCAGGUGAGCCCGAUCUGAUUUGCUUCUUCCGGAAGCAACUUCUUCGGAAAGCGACUUGGCCACUUCCCUUUUGAUGUUCUUGCGUUGAUACUAAUCAAGUUAAUUUCUUUGGAUAAUAUGGUAUCGGUCCUCAGUCUCCUAGUUCAACCAGGUUCUGGGUUCAAUUCCCAAAAAAUUCGCCAUUGGAUGAUGUAAAUUGUUCUUUGUUGUCUAUUUGAUUACUUUUGAUUGCCUUUUCAGUCGGUGCAUGUAGUAUGAUUCAACUCAUCUUCACAUGCAUGUUGGGUAACUACGUAUUAGAGCCGAGUGAUUCUAGGGUUUUAAUUUCCACAUCCGCCAUUUAUGGCAUAAAAUUUUGUUAGUCGGCUUUUUGGUACCUCUAUCGAUCUAAAUUUCCAUCAUGCACACGAUCGGGAAUGUUAAGACUAUUCCUGAGCUGUUUUCAAUUAGCUCAAUCUUUCGGAAACAAAAUGAAAAUUUUGGUACUUACCUAUCUUUCUUUUUUUGUUUUUUGUUUUUUAUGUGAGCCAGACAGUGAGAAAUCAGAUGCUUCUGGUUGUCGUAAGUGUUGAUUGUGAAGUGUAAUGAUGUUGCAUAUUUCAUUAAUUCUCAAAAAGAUUAAAAAAAAUUGCUCUGCCGCUGAAUCGUUUCCUCAUUUCCUGAUGAAUAUGGUGAAUUUCCAUUUGUGCUUGGUUAUACUCAUAUGGAUCUAAUGCUAGUAAGAUGCAUAGAGUUGUAACUUAACAGGUGGUUGAAGUGUGUCUCAGUAAUUAAUGUCCUUUGUAGAUAUGGAAAUGGGUACAGAUUGUUGUAGAACGAUUUCAAUAAAGUGGGGAGAGAAUGAAAAGGUAGAUUAUGUAGGAGGCAUAAAAAUAGCCUAGAAAAUAGAGAUGCAGAAGAAUGCCCGUUAUCAAAUAUACGAAAUUUUCAUUUGUUUUCGAAAAUGCAUGAAUUUUUCUCUUAGACCUUAGAUAUUUAAAAGGGGUUUUUGGGCGACUAGGGUUAUAGAAUUUUUUUUAAUUCUAAGAAAAGACAUUUGAUAUUUUUAUUUGUAAAACUAGGUCUAAGCGGUGAAUGAUUUACCACAUUUAGAAAUUGGUUAAUGAUUUAGCACAUUUAGAAAGCGGUGGUUCAUUCACUGCAUAAGCCUAAUUUUAAAAUAAUUAUUUUUGAAAGACUACUUUUAUAAUUAUACUAUUUUUUAAGUCUAUUAAUGGAGAAAAUUCUAUUUAAAACAAGGCACAUUACCUGCAUGAUGCAUACAAAGGGAUUGAUUACAUCUGUUUGUUUGAAUACAAAUUUACUUAUCUUGAUAUUUCCAUAUGUGGUGCUAGCAAUGUUGCGCUACAUCUUUCAAUUAGCAGAUGAUGAAGCUUUGACUCUUACGUAAAUCUUUUCCUUGGUGAAUAAUCUUUUAGUUGGAUUAGUGGAUCCUUAACUCUCCCUUGAUAUGAAUUCCAUUGAUGAGAUAUUUACUCAGUGGCCAUUCUGAUAUACAAAACCUGGUACACAUAGGAUGCAUUGAGAUUGUAAGCACACAUGAGCAGACGUAGAUCUCAUUGAUCACUGACCAUUGUUAAUGUGGAAAUGGGUAGAGAUUGCUUUGCAAAGUAUUCCACUUGAGUAAGAAGAGUAUGGAAAGAGAUAGAUUGUGAAAGAGACAGAGAAGAUAGAAAAAAAGAUGUGGAUGACAAUGCAACAGCUGAAAGAACACAAUUGGAAAUACAUGAGGAUGAGGUUUUGCUUACUGCCUCCUUUUUAUAAUAUAAUUACAAUGGGGUGUUCUAUAGUUAGUAAAACUCUUCCAAAUUAUAUUAAGUUUUAGCUUAAUCUAUUUUUUUCAAGGUUUACAGAGUAAAUGAUCAAUCAGAAAAUGUACCAGAGCCCUUGACAUAGAUAGACUAGACACGGUAAACUUGAAUUGUAAAGGUAUAAGUUACUACACAGCUAUGCUAUAUUUUGAGUUUUAUUUUUGUUAUAUUUUUCUUGUAGUGCUGUUCUGUGCAAUUAUAUCUGCACCACUGUGCAUGAACUUCGAGCUUCUAGCUUAAAUCUUGACGGAAGUCUUCUCAUUCCUUCAUUUAUACUGGAAACUAGCACAAGUUAAAUUGCCAAAUCUUUAUGAUUUAAGAAGAAUUGCUUUAGUUGCACUAUCAAAUGGUCCAAUGAAAUGCAACUUUAUUAACAAGGCCUUUCCUCUUGUGUUUGGUGAUUAUAUUGAUGGCUCUAGAUUCCAAGAAAUUCUACGUAGAAAUACACAUGAGACUAUAAUACACAUGAGACUAUUGCUUUGAUAUGUAUUGUUCGACUGUAUACGAGGAACUCUCAAACAUAAAUGAGUUUGCCAUUUAGAUCAUCUGAAAGGAAUCAUUUCUAUAUGUUCUAUUUCCUGCAUUAGCAUAUUCUCAAUUUGUUGUUGGACUUGUCGUGGUUGUCCCCAGUUAUUUCUCUAUCUUCAGGGUUGGAAUAAAAAUUCCACAACAAUCAACUGAUAUGACUUCCUUAAUAUGCGUCUUCCAUACUUUGUAUCUGGAGUACUUUCAAUUAAUUUCCUCUGCAAUCUUAGGCUUUGGCGGUGUUUAUCAUAUGCUUCUCAAACCUGAGACUCUUGAGGAAUCUUUCCCAUUCUUCUGUAAUGUAUAAAUAGAAAGAAAUAAAUGACUACAAUUUUGGGUACACACUUAAUUUUGUCAGGUAUAGGUGCUUUUCUUCUGUGUUUAUGGGGUCCAUAUUAUUUACAGGGGUUUUAUUUCUCGGAAUUANNNNNNGGGGUGGGAUGUAAGGAAAUUACCAACUUGAUCCUUAGCAUUGGUGUUAUAUUUGGUCUCCUUUAGGAGGAGAAGGGUGGAUUAUUAGUGUGGAAAUUUUAGAAGAUUAGUUUGUUCUUUUCAGUUCCUAUUUCCAAGUACUAAAUAGUAAUUCGAAUUUUUGUCUUUUUCAUCUUGCAGGUUAAGAAGGAUAAUAAAAUGUUACAGACAAAAGACAUUAAUGCAACUUUUGCGGAUUUACCGGCACCUCAGUUAGAAUGGGAAGAGAUGGCAGAAGCUCCUGUGCCUCGUCUAGAUGGAGCUGCUAUACAGAUUAAGAAUCUGCUGUAUGUUUUUGCUGGAUAUGGUACCAUUGACCAUGUAAGAAUAAUAGUAAUAUAUUGAUAUAUAACAUAUUUUUUUAUGUUGGGACUAAAGAGUAUUUUCUUCGGUCCUUCCAUAUCUCUUUGCUUACUCCGUAACCUUGUAGAGCCCAUUUACUUUAAAGAUUUAAUUCUUCAAAUAUUGAUUGUUUGUUGCAAAAUUGCAGUAUAGUACCUUAUGAGUUUAUACCGAGAAUAUGACAGUAUAUUUGUGGUUUAACUUGAAAUUAUGUGUUUGGAAGUGUAACAUGCUAAGUAAAGCUAUCUAGUUGACUUGCAAAUUAAUCAUAAAUAAUGCAAGUGAUAUUUGCAUCAUUUGAUUAUCUGCUGAUGAUUUUCCAACUACAUUGCAUCUUAAGCCCCUUAAAACGAACAAGUAUUUGAGAGUAGAGUUAUAUGCAUGCUUUAUUAUGGCUUGCAGUUGCAUCCCAUGAAAACAUUUUGUGAUUCAGAUAGGACUAAAUUAUAUCAAGAUCUUCUUUGAAAUAAUACAGCCUGAUCAAAAUACAUCUUGAAUGGCUACCUCACUUUUGACUCUGGCUUUAUCUUGUGUAAAAAAUCGGAAAAUCCACUGAUUUGGUUCUUUUACUUGCUAAUCUUACUGAAUCUUCUCCUAAGGCCACUGCAUCCUCACUUGAAAUCUUUCAACUAAACCAAGUUACUUUUUCUUAGGCCUAGGAUGCCUGAGUCCUCUUUAUCUGUAAAUAUUCUUGUUUCUUUCUGUGAAAAUAUGUGAUUAAUGUUCCUCUUAAUACAUGUUUUUCUCUAGACAUCCUUAUGUCACUGUAUGUCUACAUUUUGCGACUUGUUCACACAACCAUCUUUACAUCCUUUCCUUACAUGUUCAUUGCAUUGCACCUAUAUUUAGAUCUCUAACAAGUGAUUUGCUUGUCACCCACUACUAAACCCCAUCGUUUUCUUUUGACUACUCGCUUGGAAAAUUUUUGAGCUGUUUUUAGUUCUCAUUUUGUUAAUUUAGCUGAAUAUUUGGUAAAUAGCAUGUAUGUACUCAUCUUGUAGCAUAGUGAUAAGGAGAAUCUCCUCCUUGUAAGGGCCAAUGGGUCGAGUUUUUCCAUUCCCAACUAAUGGUGCUGCACCAUUUGUGACCUUUGUCACCUAGCAUCAAAGAAAAAAGGACUAUCUUAAUGGUGCCAUAUUGCGCUAUCAUUUGCGAAAAGUUGAAAAUGAUACAAGCAGAUAAGAACUAAACUAAUGUUUCUUAUGGUCCUUGUCUUCUUGAUUCUUGAAAUUAUAUUAUAACGAAUAUUAUUUUCUGUUUAGUGGAUGAUUAAUUGGAUUUCUGUGCUAAAUCAUUUUAUGAACGAAUUUGUUUUCUUUCUGUUUUAGGUGCAUUCCCAUGUGGAUAUCUAUAACUUUACAGAUAAUACAUGGGGAGGAAGAUUUGAUAUGCCAAAAGAAAUGGCACAUUCACAUCUAGGAAUGGUGACAGAUGGCAGAUAUAUUUAUGUAGUCACUGGACAGUAUGGGCCCCAAUGUAGAGGUCCUACAGCUCGCAAUUUUGUACUGGACACAGAGACGAAAGAAUGGCAUGAUUUGCCUCCAUUGCCAGUGCCUAGGUGUGUAAUAUUGGCUUGAAUAGUCAAAUUAAUUUUAUGGAUGUUUUGAGUCUGUCUUACUUCAGUCACAACUAUGAGGUGUAUUAAGGGUGGAGUUAGGAUAAGACUGUUCCUAACGGACCUAAACUGGUUUUAAGAUUUAUCCUUAGUUCUUUUGAGGGUUUGUUCGAUUUUCCACUCUUUUCGUUUUAUUCCUCGUAUAUAUCAUUUUGCUAUUAUCCAAGAAACUUUUUAGUGUUGCAAAGUUCUUUUCUCCCCUUGGUGUGUGAAUCUAUUGUUGUGUCGCCAUUUCUACAUCAAUUUAGUUUUAAGUACUUGGUGAUAUUCAACCUAGACUGGCUGAGCUCAUUUGGUCUAUUAUUUCAUGCUCACAGAAUUUAUGGAAAUUUUGAUCGAAGUCUUAAGAAAUACUGAUGGAUGUCUUCCUAGGUACGCACCAGCUACACAACUUUGGAGAGGCAGACUCCAUGUAAUGGGUGGCAGCAAGGAGGAUCGCCAUGAACCUGCAUUGGAUCAUUGGAGCCUCGCUGUAAAAGAUGGGAAAGCUUUGGACAAUGAAUGGAGAAAUGAGAUACCCAUACCACGUGGUGGUCCUCACAGGUUUGUGUGCAGUUGCCUCGUAGAAUUUAUUUGUUAGGUUCAUGUUUUAUCUGUGAAAUUAUUUAAUCUGAAACCUACAGCAAUCACCAUGCUAAUUAGAGGUAAAAUUUAGAAUUAGGGAAUUUUAUUUAUUUAUUUAUUUAUUUAUUUUGUUUUUCUGGUGAUUUGUGCGGCAAGUUAGAGCUACUUAUGAACAUGGAGUAGUUGCCAUAUCAUUGUAAUAAAGGAUUCCAAUCUGACACCCAAUUAGUCCCACAGCACAAUCCAAUGUGGGACUAAUUGAGGUGUCACUGUAAUGAUGUAAGAAAGGUAUUUUGUCCCGAGCUUUGGCUAGAGCUUUGCUGUAGAUGCAAAAGAAACAGGAAGGUUGAGCAAAAUAAGGUAGCUUGUUGCAAAUGAGAAAAUAUUUAUUUAAAGCUUCCGGUUUUGAUGAUUUUUAUAGAGUAUGUUAAGUUUGUCGGCUCGUAGGACGAGAUCUAUAGUGUGAUCUGAUAUUGCAAUAACUUUAAAGCCUGAUCUAAAUCAACGCUUUAUCACGAACUUAAUUUCGAAAUAUUGUGAAACUUGGAUCAAAUAUUGGCUGUUGAAUUCUCAUCACGCUGAAUCAGUAUCUCAAUACUUCAAUAUUUGAUGAAAUUAUAGUCACACUUACAUGUGUUGACAUGCUUCUAUAUAUUCAGGUGAGCUAUAGAUAUAUGUACUCCUAUGCAAACCUGCAUAUUGUUCUAUUGCUAUCUGAAUACUUUAACACUUUGGCUUUUAAAGAUCUUGUUUUAACCUUUAUUACCGAUUGUUCCUGCUGCUUAAUAAGGUACUGCAAUUAAGCCUUGUACAUUUGCCUAUUUUGCUUGAUGAAAUAGCUCACUUCGUGAUAUCUUCUAAAGGCUGCAUAUGCCUUGUUUUGCCCAGUGCGGUUUUUGAAACUGAUUCUCUACUCAACACAAAGCUAUAUGAAAAUUUUUCAUCAAUUUCCAUCAUGUUAUUACUUUAAAAAUAAUAUUCAGAACUGAAAUGACAAAUUAAUUCUUAGCCAAAUAUGUCUUUUGUCACCAGGGCUUGUGUGGUUGCUAAUGAUCGGCUUCUUGCUAUUGGCGGUCAAGAGGGUGAUUUUAUGGCAAAACCUGGAUCACCGAUUUUCAAAUGUGUUCGCAGAAGUGAGGUUUGUAGCUGGAAAUCUAAAUAGAAUUUUAAAGAAGAAUUUACAAAAUGUGUAAUCUAGAUGAUAUAACUGGGGAAUGAUGCCUUUGUUAAAGUGGAAUGAAGUUCUACUCAUUUACAUUAAAAUGAGAUAUUAGUGUUUAAUUUGGACCUCCUCCUUGAUGGAAAAGAAAGGGAACAUCCAGCUGAGCUACAAAUCUUCAUUAAUUAAUACUUCUGGUGCUUUUCCUCAUGGACAUUUUUGGAACCUACCUCACAUGCGCUAGACCAACUUGGCUUUAUACCAAGGAAUUUCUUUAGAUAUAAAGAAUAUGAUAUUAAUUUUGAUUAUAAAAAACUAUACCUUUUGUCUCUUUUAUUAUCUUGCAUUGUAUCAUGAUUGGCCUACUUGCUUCUUUCUUUAUUAUGUUUUUGCCACCUACUUAUGCUGGCAAAUUUUGUUCUUAUUCAGGUGGUGUAUAGCAAUGUUUACAUGCUUGAUGAUGGUUUAAAGUGGAAGGAACUGCCACCCAUGCCUAAACCAGAUUCACACAUAGAAUUUGCAUGGGUAAAUGUAAACAAUUCCCUUAUUAUCGCUGGAGGAACUACGGAGAAACAUCCUGUGACUAAAAAGAUGGUCUUGGUUGGUGAAAUAUUUCGGUUCAACUUGGAUACACUGGUAUUAAAAACUCCUCAAUCCUUUUACUGUACAAAAAGAGAAGUAACGUUUUCUUAUUUGUUCAUAUUUCUACUAUCUGCUGUCGAUUUCAUCGAGACUCAUAAUCUCCAUUUCUUUUAGAAUUCUGUUGAUUUGUGAACAAUUGUUAGGCUCUAUAAAGAGCACCAAUUACCAAUUGAAUGAAAUUUCAAAUUUUCAUGUCUAUAAAAUUAAAGAAAAGAAAAUAUAAAGCGCUAAUAUUAGAGAUUGGUGAUUUCUUUAGUCAUCAUAAAGUUUUUUCUUGUUAUUAAUUAUAUACUUUCCAGAUGAUCCAAUACUGUAAAAAAAACUGAACUCUGCAAAUGAACAAAUAAUAUGAUUUUACAAAAUUGUCGUGAUUGGUUCUACUUUUGUCUCUUAUAUAAUGUUUAUUCAAAUAAUGUAAUUUUCACAGGAAUGGUCGGUUAUUGGGAAGUUACCUUUCCGCAUCAAGACCACCUUGGUAGGUUUCUGGAAUGGCUGGUUGUAUUUCACAUCUGGCCAGCGAGACAAGGGACCAAACGAUCCCUCUCCUAAAAAGGUUGUCGGGUGCAUGUGGAGAACUAAGCUACGGUUAUAGCUCUUACAUUUUAUCUGGAACUAUGUCAGUUUAUAUCUUCGCUAUUUCCGUCUAGAAUGUCUCACAUAUUGUUUCAUUUUUUUUUCAGUUCAAUUCCUCAUUCAAAUUUACAAACUAAUCCAGUGAUUUAUCCUGUACAAUUUAGUGGGCACUUCAUUUUUUUUUUCAGUCCUAUUUGUAGCAAGUCAAACAACACCCUUGGAGGUCUCCCAGUUUAUUAGACAAUUCAUGUCAAUUUUAUCUUAUAGUUUAUGUUGGUCUUCAGAAAUGUAUCAUUCAUGCAUUAUUUCCUUUUACAUGGCAGUUGCAGUGUGGGAUUUGUUGCAUCAAACUUAAAGUGGAAAACCUUCAUUUCCAUGUAGUAAUACUUUGCUUAGGUUUACAGGAAAAGGUAAUGCUUUGUAUUAGUCAUAUGUGCCUUAUUUUUCGGAACACCUCGACAUUUCUUGGAUCCCGUGCUGAUUUGUAGAAGCGUCGUCGAUGAUGGUCGGCAUUAAGGAUGAUUCUACUAGCUCGAACUAGAGCUAGCGGUUGUUAGAGAUUUGGUGCUUGAUGUGAGGAUCGUAAGACUUUUCGUUUUCAUCUCUUUUCUUUAUUUGGAUUUCAGGGCUUGAUUUUUUUACUUUUACGUUGUAGGUUGGGAACUGUUAUCGACAUGUUUUUCAUCUCUUUUCUUGUUCUGAGUCGGGGGACCGACAAUAACGAAUUUCCCCAUUGUUUUAUUUUGAUUCGAUCGGGAACCGUUGUCGAUUUCUUCAUUUUAGUUUGUGCAGAGUGGUCUUCAUUUCUAUGUUGUGGAGUAUAUUUUUCAAAUUUUUUUUCCCAAACUUGUAUUUAAGCUUUUUAUUAAUGGAUAUUAUCUAUGGGUUUCCUUGUUAAGGAAAAGAAAAAAAGGGAAACAAAGAGAGGGAGUUUGAGAACUGAAAAAAAAGGUGAGUACAGAGUUUCCAACAUUUUAACUUUUUAGCUUUUAUUUAAGAGUAAUGUUAAUGACAGAGCUAUUUUUGUUAUUGUCAGGAAAGAUACAAAGCAUGUAACUUCGACUCGCUCAAAACAAGCCCUAGCUGGCAAUUUAAUCUCUCGCACUGCAGCCGUCUGCCCCAUGAACCAGUGGGAUCUCCUCAAACUGCUCCAAGAAGCCGUAACCGUCGCCAACGUUCCUCAGCGACCGGUACGCUCCAUACAUUGAGAACCUCUCCUGCGGACUAUUUACAACACAUCCCAUGGCUAUUUUCAAGGACUCCACAAUUUCGACGUCAUGGCCCUUCCCGCGCAGCGACUCAUCAACAGCAUCUCUGAUCCUACCUUCGCCCGCAAGCUUGCGAACCCAAUCCACCAAAUUUCCUGCAAAACGUAUCCCCACCGCAUCCGUGCCGAUCUCACCGGGCUUCCUCCCUGUGGCUAGCUCCAGUAGCACCACUCCUAAUGCAUAAACAUCGCCCUUUGUGGUCGGGACCGGAUUCGCAGCAUACUCCGGAGCCGCGUAGCCCAAUUCCCCGACGUUCGAUUCGAGGAGCCCCGAGAGGCCGAAAUCGGUGAUCUUGGCCUCAUAGUCUUCGUCGAGGAGGAUCGUGCUCGAGCUCAUGUAAUGGUGGAGGAGGGGAGCGUGGAACCAAUGGUGGAGCCACGUGAGACCGCGGGCGGCACCGAUUGCUAUCUUGAGCCUAGCAGGCCAAUCCAGAGAGCGAGAGGAAGAGUGUAGUCGGGAGGAGAGGGCGCCGUUCGGCAUGUACUUGUAGACGAGGAGGCGCUCGUCGUUGAUUGUGUAGAAGUCCAAGAGCGGUGCAAGGUUGGGGUGGCGGAGUCGACCAAUGCGACUGAUCGUCGCGGAGUAGAGGGCCUCGCCGAAGAGCCUGCACGACCGCAGCCGCUUGACGGUGAGCGCAGUUCCGUCGCUGAGGAAGGCCUUGUAUGACGUCCCCAGCUGCGCACUCCCAACCGCGAUAAUACGAUCGGGGUGGAAAUCUGCAGUUGCAUGUAGUAGAUCGGAGGGAGUUAGCUGCACGGUCAGCCUCCGGGAGAUCGUCAUGGGUGAGAUCUGGCCCAGAGACACCUGCAGCGACUCUGUCCGGCCCAACAAGUUUCUGCGCUCCCCGGUGGUGGCGAUAGGACUAUGAGUUACUUUCGAGGGACGGGAAAUGCACCGGUUCCAGAUUGUGAGCGAAAAGAGCAAAGAAGUUGCAAAACCAAAGACGCCGGCCAAGAUGUUCACAAGGAUAGCUUCGCCUUCCGUAGCAUGGCCGUGGCGGUGAGAGGAGACGUCGUAGCCGCGGCGUCGGUUGGGAUUCCCCGCAAACGAGUUGAACGAAUUGCCCGGCGGUGCGUGGAUUGGGCCACGAAGCAUGUCGUAGUCGUCCUUCGCUGCGCUUCCGUCGACACCGGUGUAGAUCGAAGCCGUCGAAACUGCGAGGAGAAUGAGAAGAUGGAGGGCUCCCAUGAUCUGUCUGCAGCUCUGAUCUUCAAAUUAAUGAUCUCAAAAAAUGGCAUGAGAUUACAAAUACACAAAAGUGCAGGGAGGAUAGGGGAGACUUGGUUGACAGUGAUAAAGACAAAUGUGGAAAUAUAUGAGGUAAAAAGACUAGGAUCUCAAACUGACAGCGUUAGACUUGGACUCAGCGGUCAAGCAUUUAAGCUGAUAGAGAAAGAGGAAAAUUUGCAAAUAGCUUGAUGUCGACUGGCGCGGCAGUGCCAGAACAACAUUCAGAAAGAAAGAUAUGACUCAAAAACGAAUAGAGUUGGUGCCAAAAUAGUUCAUGCUAUACCAACUAUGUGACACAUUUAGAAUUUAAAAUAGUUUUAUAUAUAAUAAAUAAUAAAAAUAUUUGUUUAAUCCGAUUAUAGUAUUUUAGGCUAUUGUUAGACUGAAGAGAUUAAGGGCGUGUUUGGUUCACUUCUUUUUCGCCCUAGAAUUGAAUCGGAAUGGGUGUAUUUGUUUGUGGGUGUUUGGUACACGGGAGUCUCAUUCUGAUUCCGAUUCCGAUUUUCGAGUGGAAUGAGAAUUUUUCAAUCAUCUCUGUUUUCAAUCCGGCCUAGGAGGCCGGAUUGGAAGUUGAAUCUGGACGAAAUGGAUAUCUAUUCGGAUUAAAUUUAUUUUUUCAACUUUUUUAAUUAAAAUAUGAGUUAAAAUUUAAAAAUUAAAUAUAUAAUUUUAAAUUUUAAUUUGAACUUAAAUUAAAUUUUAAAAUUUAAUCAAAUAUUUCGAAUCUAACUUAAUUUUAAGUUUGAAUUUGAAUAAAUCAUAAUUUAGUUUCAUAUUUUAAAUUAUCCACUCAACUUUAAAGUUUAAUUUUUUAAAAAAAUUAGAUUUAAAAUUUUGACAUUAUUUCAAAAUUUUGAUGUAAAUUUUAAAUAUUUAAUUUUUAAUUUGAAUUUAAAUUAAUAUAUUAUAAAGAUGAUGUUAGUGUAUUAAUUUGAUUAUAUUUUUUAUAUCCAUCUGAACCAAACACCGACAAUAGGAAUGAUUUAUUCCGAUUUCGAUUCAGGUGAUGAACCAAACAGAAUUAGGUAAUGAGUUAUUCCGAUUCCAAUUCCAGCUUAUUUUGAUUCCGAUUCCGAUUUCGACUCCGACUUCGAACCAAACACGCCCUAAGAGAGUUAAGCGUAUUAGAGAUAGAAUAGUUCUAGAAUGGAUGACUUAUUUGGGAAGCGAGGCGUCGCAAUUAAUAGCAGAGCCAAUCACUAGUUGGAAAUGUGAGAUGAGUCUUAACUGAGAUAUAGUUAUUCAGUGCAUAGAACAUGAUUCUCUAGCUGAUGAUUGUUGUGGGUGGAGGCGUGGAGCGCAACUCCUCACAAGACCAGCUAAAACUAGCGAGACAAAUUUCAUAUCACUUGAUGUUUGUAAGUGUGCCGACGAAAACUUCAAGACUUAAAGGGAGGUAAAGUAAUGUAACAAUCCAGUGAUUUGAAAUAUUCUAUACAUGAGAUAUAAUUGGGCUAAACCUUUUAACACGACUAUAAUAUUUUGGGCGGUGACUAGGCGUAAAAAGUCUAUGGAAAGUUCAAGAUAUGAAGGCCUUAUUUGGACAUUCAACUAAAGUUAUUCAGUGAUAUCCUAUGUGGCAUGAAAAUUUUCAGUAAUAUUCUAUUAAGUAUAAAAAUUUUCUAUAAUGAGUGGACGUUACGAGUGUGGUCAAAUGUCUAGAAUGGAACAGCAUACCUUCAAUUCAUUUUUAUUGUGAACAAAAUAAAUCACAUUAUUUGUAAAGUAUAUUAUCCUGUUAAAUCAUAUAUGCCAACAUCUUUUAAGAAGCUAAAAUCAAACUCCUUGCUUUUCAUUCACACACCAAAAAAAAAAAAAAAAAUUUAUGCUGAACUGCAUCUAAAUUAACAAAGUUUUCCGAAGAUUUCACAAAUAAAUGUUCUCUACUCACUAGGCAAGUACCAGUAAUCCAAAUGAAAAAAUACACCAAAGUAAAUUAUACAGCAUUUACCAGAAGAAGUAAAGAACGAGUUUCCGUUGCCGAAGAAAUGAAAAAUAAGUAAA
RNAcentral lists this long non-coding RNA (20936 nucleotides) under Ananas comosus (pineapple). RNAcentral's name for it is "long non-coding RNA (ACOM_LNC030834)". Lineage: Eukaryota; Viridiplantae; Streptophyta; Magnoliopsida; Poales; Bromeliaceae. The record is from RNAcentral.